GACGAACGCUGGCGGCGUGCUUAACACAUGCAAGUCGAACGGAAUCCAUGGUGUAGCAAUACACCGGAAGAUUUAGUGGCGAACGGGUGAGGAUCACGUGAGAAACGUGCCCCAGACUCUGGGAUAACAAUUGGAAACGAUUGCUAAUACCGGAUGACGUCGGAGAAUCGCAUGAUUCACUGACGAAAGAUAUUUCGGUUUGGGAGCGUCUCGCGGCCUAUCAGCUUGUUGGUGGGGUAAUGGCCUACCAAGGCAACGACGGGUAGCUGGUCUGAGAGGAUGAUCAGCCACACUGGGACUGAGACACGGCCCAGACUCCUACGGGAGGCAGCAGUGGGGAAUCUUGCGCAAUGGGCGAAAGCCUGACGCAGCAACGCCGCGUGCGGGAUGAAGGCCAGUUUCGGGCUGUAAACCGCUUUCAGCAGGAACGAAAAUGACGGUACCUGCAGAAGAGGA
This 456-nucleotide ribosomal RNA is filed under the name uncultured Actinomycetes bacterium. Its description in RNAcentral is "bacterial SSU rRNA". It matches the Rfam family "Bacterial small subunit ribosomal RNA", at positions 28 to 491 of the family's 1533-position model. The record is from RNAcentral. Lineage: Bacteria; Bacillati; Actinomycetota; Actinomycetes.